AUUGAACGCUGGCGGCAUGCCUUACACAUGCAAGUCGAACGGCAGCACGGGUGCUUGCACCUGGUGGCGAGUGGCGAACGGGUGAGUAAUACAUCGGAACAUGUCCUGUAGUGGGGGAUAGCCCGGCGAAAGCCGGAUUAAUACCGCAUACGAUCUACGGAUGACAGCGGGGGACCUUCGGGCCUCGCGCUAUAGGGUUGGCCGAUGGCUGAUUAGCUAGUUGGUGGGGUAAAGGCCUACCAAGGCGACGAACAGUAGCUGGUCGGAGAGGACGACCAGCCAGACUGGGAGUGAGACACGGCACAGACGGCUACGGGAAGCAGCAGUGGGGAAAUGUGGAGAAUGGGCGGGAGCCUGAUCCAGCAAUGCCGCGUGUUGGAAGAGGGCCUUCGGGUGGUAGAGCACGUUUGUCCGGAAAGAAAUCCUUGGGCCUAAUACGGUCGGGGGAUGACGGUACCGGAAGAAGAAGCACCGGCUAACUACGUG
Molecule: ribosomal RNA, 486 nt
Filed under: uncultured bacterium
Lineage: Bacteria
Description: partial 16S ribosomal RNA
Rfam family: Bacterial small subunit ribosomal RNA
Source: RNAcentral